UUGAACGCUGGCGGCAUGCUUUACACCUGCAAGUCGAACGGCAGCGCGGGCUUCGGCCUGGCGGCGAGUGGCGAACGGGUGAGUAAUGCAUCGGAACGUGCCCAGUAGUGGGGGAUAGCCCGGCGAAAGCCGGAUUAAUACCGCAUACGACCUGAGGGUGAAAGCGGGGGACCGAAAGGCCUCGCGCUAUUGGAGCGGCCGAUGUCGGAUUAGCUAGUUGGUGGGGUAAAGGCUUACCAAGGCGACGAUCCGUAGCUGGUCUGAGAGGACGACCAGCCACACUGGGACUGAGACACGGCCCAGACUCCUACGGGAGGCAGCAGUGGGGAAUUUUGGACAAUGGGGGCAACCCUGAUCCAGCCAUGCCGCGUGCGGGAAGAAGGCCUUCGGGUUGUAAACCGCUUCUGUUCGGGAAGAAAUCCUCAGGGCUAAUACCCCGGGGGGAUGACGGUACCGGAAGAAUAAGCACCGGCUAACUACGUG
RNAcentral lists this ribosomal RNA (483 nucleotides) under uncultured bacterium. Its description in RNAcentral is "partial 16S ribosomal RNA". It matches the Rfam family "Bacterial small subunit ribosomal RNA", at positions 29 to 507 of the family's 1533-position model. The record is from RNAcentral.